UGACAACAAUCGUGAUUUAUGAAUAUGAUGCAGUAGACAUCACCUGUAGAUCAUUGAUAUUGUGUUGCAAUGGUCCUAGGAAUAGAUGUGUCCUAAGCAGAAGCUGGUUAUACCUUUUGCUCUGAGAGAAGUCUAUCGACGGAGAAAUACUUAUGUCUAAACCAGGGAAAAAGAAACGCUUAAGGUUGGGGGAUUUAAAUCUUCCUGUUACAAUGAAUAUUUCCUACCUGAAAAUGCUCCUCAAAAAGGAGCGUGAUAAAGAUCCCA
Molecule: long non-coding RNA, 267 nt
Organism: Saccostrea cuccullata (small rock oyster)
Lineage: Eukaryota; Metazoa; Mollusca; Bivalvia; Ostreida; Ostreidae
Exons: 3
Source: RefSeq, a predicted model, not a curated record